This 403-nucleotide ribosomal RNA is filed under the name uncultured bacterium. RNAcentral's name for it is "partial 16S ribosomal RNA". It matches the Rfam family "Bacterial small subunit ribosomal RNA", at positions 28 to 526 of the family's 1533-position model. The record is from RNAcentral.
GACGAACGCUGGCGGCGUGCCUAAUACAUGCAAGUCGAACGCAGUGGGGACGGGUGAGUAACACGUGGGUAACCUCCCAUCAGAGGGUAUAACACUUGGAAACAGGUGCUAAACCGAUACUGAUGGAUUGACACGCGGUGCAUUAGCUAGUUGGUGAGGUAACGGCUCACCAAGGCCACGACGCAUAGCCGACCGGAGAGGUGGAUGGGCAAAACGGGGAUGGGGCCCCGGCCCAGACUCCGACGGAAGGAAGCAUAAGGGAAUCUUCGGCAAGGGACGAAAGUCUGACCGGGCAAGGCCGCGUGAGGGAAGAAGGUUUUCGGAUCGUAAACCUCGGUGGUUAGGGAAGCGGUAUCUAACCAGAAAGCGACGGCUAACUACGUGCCAGCAGCCGCGGUAAUAC